UGGGGAAUCUUCCGCAAUGGACGCAAGUCUGACGCAGCAACGCCGCGUGAGUGAAGAAGGAUUUCGGUUCGUAAAACUCUGUUGUUAGAGAAGAACAGCGCAUAGAUUAACUGUUAUGGGUGUGACGGUAUCUAACCAGAAAGCCACGGCUAACUACGUGCCAGCAGCCGCGGUAAUACGUAGGUGGCAAGCGUUGUCCGGAAUUAUUGGGCGUAAAGCGAGCGCAGGCGGUCAAUUAAGUCGGAUGUGAAAGCCCCGGGCUCAACCGGGGAGCGUCAUUGAAAACUGGUUGACUUGAGUGCAGAAGAGGAGAGUGGAAUUCCAUGUGUAGCGGUGAAAUGCGUAGAUAUAUGGAGGAACACCAGUGGCGAAGGCGACUAUCUGGACUGUAACUGACGCUGAGGCGCGAAAGCGUGGGUAGCAAACAGG
Molecule: ribosomal RNA, 429 nt
Filed under: Bacteroidota bacterium
Lineage: Bacteria; Pseudomonadati; Bacteroidota
Description: Bacteroidetes bacterium partial 16S ribosomal RNA
Rfam family: Bacterial small subunit ribosomal RNA
Source: RNAcentral